GACGAACGCUGGCGGCGUGCUUAACACAUGCAAGUCGAACGGAAAGGCCCUGCUCUUGCGGGGUGCUCGAGUGGCGAACGGGUGAGUAACACGUGAGUAACCUGCCCUUGACUUUGGGAUACCUUCGGGAAACUGGGGCUAAUAUCGGACAGGAGCUCCUGCUGCAUGGUGGGGGUUGGAAAGUUGCGGCGGUUGGGGAUGGACUCGCGGCUUACCAGCGUGUUGGUGGGGUAGUGGCUUACCAAGGCUUUGACGGGUAGCCGGCCUGAGAGGGUGACCGGCCACAUUGGGACUGAGAUACGGCCCAUACUCCUACGGGAGGCAGCAGUGGGGAAUAUUGCACAAUGGGCGGAAGCCUGAUGCAGCAACGCCGCGUGCGAGAUGACGGCCUUCGGGUUGUAAACCGCUUUCGCCUGUGACGAAGCGUGAGUGACGGUAAUGGGUAAAGAAGCACCGGCUAACUACGUG
This 468-nucleotide ribosomal RNA is filed under the name uncultured bacterium. Its description in RNAcentral is "partial 16S ribosomal RNA". It matches the Rfam family "Bacterial small subunit ribosomal RNA", at positions 28 to 507 of the family's 1533-position model. The record is from RNAcentral.